RNAcentral lists this ribosomal RNA (496 nucleotides) under uncultured bacterium. RNAcentral describes it as "partial 16S ribosomal RNA". It matches the Rfam family "Bacterial small subunit ribosomal RNA", at positions 29 to 523 of the family's 1533-position model. The record is from RNAcentral.
AUUGAACGCUGGCGGCAUGCUUUACACAUGCAAGUCGAACGGUAGAGGGGGCAACCCCUUGAGAGUGGCGAACGGGUGAGUAAUGCAUCGGAACGUGCCCAGUCGUGGGGGAUAACGCAGCGAAAGCUGUGCUAAUACCGCAUACGAUCUCUGGAUGAAAGCGGGGGACCGAAAGGCCUCGCGCGAUUGGAGCGGCCGAUGUCAGAUUAGGUAGUUGGUGGGGGAAAGGCCUACCAAGCCAACGAUCUGUAGCUGGGCUGAGAGGACGACCAGCCACACUGGGACUGAGAGACGGCCCAGACUGCUACGGGAGGCAGCAGUGGGGAAUUUUGGACAAUGGGCGCAAGCCUGAUCCAGCAAUGCCGCGUGCAGGAAGAAGGCCUUCGGGUUGUAAACUGCUUUUGUACGGAACGAAACGGUCUGGGUUAAUACCCUGGGCUAAUGACGGUACCGUAAGAAUAAGCACCGGCUAACUACGUGCCAGCAGCCGCGGUAA